AGAGUUUGAUCAUGGCUCAGGACUAACGCUGGCGGCGUGCCUAAGACAUGCAAGUCGAACGAGAGGAAGGGAGCAAUCCCUUUAGUACAGUGGCGAAAGGGUGAGUAAUACGUGGGCAACCUACCCAUAGGACUGGGACAACCUCGCGAAAGCGGGGCUAAUACCAGAUGUUGUCACAGAGACCACGGUUUUUGUGAUGAAAGGAGCAAUCCGCCUAUAGAGGGGCCCGCGGCCUAUCAGCUAGUUGGUGAGGUAACGGCCCACCAAGGCUAAGACGGGUAGCUGGCGUGAGAGCGCGACCAGCCACACUGGAACUGAGAUACGGUCCAGACUCCUACGGGAGGCAGCAGUCGGGAAUUUUGGACAAUGGGCGAAAGCCUGAUCCAGCGACGCCGCGUGCGGGAAGACGUCCUUCGGGAUGUAAACCGCUGUCGGAUGGGACGAACACAAUGACGGUACCAUCGGAGGAAGCACCGGCUAACUCUGUGCCAGCAGCCGCGGUAAGACAGAGGGUGCAAGCGUUGUCCGGAUUGACUGGGUGUAAAGGGCGUGUAGGCGGCCGAGUAAGUCUGACGUGAAAACAUCACCGCUCAACGGGAUGUACGCGUUGGAAACUGUUCGGCUUGAGUACAGGAGAGGUUAACGGAAUUCCAGGUGUAGCGGUGGAAUGUGUAGAUAUCUGGAGGAACACCGGUGGCGAAAGCGGUUAACUGGCCUGUGACUGACGCUGAGGCGCGAAAGCCAGGGGAGCAAACGGGAUUAGAUACCCCGGUAGUCCUGGCCGUAAACGAUGGAUACUAGGUGUGGGAGGUAUCGACCCCUUCCGUGCCGCAGUUAACGCAUUAAGUAUCCCACCUGGGGAGUACGGUCGCAAGACUGAAACUCAAAAGAAUUGACGGGGGCCCGCACAAGCGGUGGAGCAUGUGGUUUAAUUCGACGCAACGCGAAGAACCUUACCAGGGCUUGACAUGUAUGUGGUAGAAACUUG
Molecule: ribosomal RNA, 988 nt
Filed under: uncultured bacterium
Lineage: Bacteria
Description: bacterial SSU rRNA
Rfam family: Bacterial small subunit ribosomal RNA
Source: RNAcentral